This 253-nucleotide ribosomal RNA is filed under the name uncultured bacterium. RNAcentral describes it as "partial 16S ribosomal RNA". It matches the Rfam family "Bacterial small subunit ribosomal RNA", at positions 524 to 776 of the family's 1533-position model. The record is from RNAcentral.
UACAGAGGGGGCAAGCGUUGUUCGGAAUUACUGGGCGUAAAGGGCGCGUAGGCGGCCUGCUAAGUCGAACGUGAAAUCCCUGGGCUCAACCCAGGAACUGCGUCCGAUACUGGUUGGCUUGAAUUCGGGAGAGGGAUGCAGAAUUCCAGGUGUAGCGGUGAAAUGCGUAGAUAUCUGGAGGAAUACCGGUGGCGAAGGCGGCAUCCUGGACCGAUAUUGACGCUGAGGAGCGAAAGCUAGGGGAGCAAACGGG